CAAUAGCGUAUAUUAAAGUUGUUGCAGUUAAAAAGCUCGUAGUUGGAUUUGUGGUGUGUCCAGUCGGCCUUUGCUCUUUGAGUGAUUGUGCUGUUACUGGUCUGCCAUGUUUGGGUGGAAUCUGUGUGGCAUUAAGUUGUCGUGCAGGGGAUGCCCAUCGUUUACUGUGAAAAAUUAGAGUGUUCAAAGCAGGCUUAUGCCUCUGAAUAUAUUAGCAUGGAAUAAUGAUAUAGGACCUUGGUACUAUUUUGUUGGUUUGAGGGACUGCAGUAAUGAUUAAUAGGGAUAGUUGGGGGCAUUAGUAUUUAAUUGUCAGAGGUGGAAUUCUCAGAUUUGUUAAAGACUAACUUAUGCGAAAGCAUUUGCCAAGGAUGUUUUCAUUAAUCAAGAACGAAAGUUAGGGGAUCAAAGAUGAUUAGAUACCAU
This 426-nucleotide ribosomal RNA is filed under the name uncultured eukaryote. RNAcentral's name for it is "bacterial SSU rRNA". It matches the Rfam family "Eukaryotic small subunit ribosomal RNA", at positions 592 to 1018 of the family's 1831-position model. The record is from RNAcentral.